ACUAUACAGAUAUAAUUCAAUUUAAGUCACACCUCAUUUUAUUAGCAAUACAGGCAGUCGUGAUUGCAAUCAUGAAGUUUUCAUAUAUUUUUUUGGUGAUUUUCUGUGUGUCUGACCUCGUAACUGGGGCAUUAUAUUUUUCGCCGAGUCGAUAUGCCAUAUACCGCUAUAUCUAUAUCAAAAACAGAAACACAAAUAACUAUGAUUAUGAUGAUUAUAAUUAUUAUGAUUAUGAUAUACAAUGAUAUUUUCUAUAUCAUAAAGGGGAAAAGGAGUCCUUCAGACGAAGAAAGCAAUAUACUCAAAUAAAAGAACAAUAAUUGGUUGAAUUUCACUUUUUAACACGCUUAUAUUAGCUUCACUUGUAACUAAGUAUGUAUGUAGGAAAAUCUUCGAAUCUUAAUUUGUUUUUAUAAUAAGUAGAUAUAUGCCUAAAUAUAUCAAAAAUAAUGUAAAACAAAGAAUAAAAAUGUUUGUCUUCAUAAACU
Long non-coding RNA from Helicoverpa armigera (cotton bollworm), 488 nucleotides. RefSeq lists it as uncharacterized. Lineage: Eukaryota; Metazoa; Arthropoda; Insecta; Lepidoptera; Noctuidae. The transcript is spliced from 3 exons. The record is from RefSeq and is a predicted model, not a curated record.